Callithrix jacchus (white-tufted-ear marmoset) is the source of this 300-nucleotide unclassified non-coding RNA. It matches the Rfam family "Metazoan signal recognition particle RNA". From Rfam's summary of the family: The signal recognition particle (SRP) is a universally conserved ribonucleoprotein. It is involved in the co-translational targeting of proteins to membranes. The eukaryotic SRP consists of a 300-nucleotide 7S RNA and six proteins: SRPs 72, 68, 54, 19, 14, and 9. NCBI's taxonomy places the organism in Eukaryota, Metazoa, Chordata, Mammalia, Primates, Cebidae. The record is from Ensembl.
GCCAGGCACAGUGGUGCAUGCCUAUAGUCCCAGCUACUCGGAAGGCUGAGGCUGGAGGAUCGCUUGAGCCCAGGAGUUCUGGGCUGUAGUGCACUAUGCCGAUCAGGUGUCCACACUAAGUUUGGCAUCAAUAUGGUGACCUCCUGGGAGUGGGGAACCAUUAGGUUGCCUAAGGAGGGGUGAACCAGCCCAGGUCGGAAAUGGAGCAGGUCAAAACUCCUGUGCUGAUCAGUAGUGGGACUGCCCCUGUGAAUAGCCACUGCACUCCAGCCUGGGCAACAUAGUGAGACCCCGUCUUUU